RNAcentral lists this ribosomal RNA (200 nucleotides) under uncultured bacterium. Its description in RNAcentral is "partial 16S ribosomal RNA". It matches the Rfam family "Bacterial small subunit ribosomal RNA", at positions 28 to 226 of the family's 1533-position model. The record is from RNAcentral.
GAUGAACGCUAGCGGCAGGCCUAAUACAUGCAAGUCGAGGGGCAGCACAGGUAGCAAUACUGGGUGGCGACCGGCAAACGGGUGCGGAACACGUACGCAACCUUCCUUCAAGUGGGGGAUAGCCCAUAGAAAUGUGGAUUAAUACCUCGUAAUAUCAUGAGCCGGCAUCGGUUUAUGAUUAUAGAAUUUCGCUUAAAGAU